UUGCUUCAGCAGCACGUAUACUAAAAUUGGAAUGAUAGAGAGAAGAUUAGCAUGGCCCCUGAGCAAGGAUGACAUGCAAAUUCGGGAAGCAUUCCAUAUUUUU
Molecule: small nuclear RNA, 103 nt
Organism: Heterocephalus glaber (naked mole-rat)
Lineage: Eukaryota; Metazoa; Chordata; Mammalia; Rodentia; Bathyergidae
Source: Ensembl